Molecule: ribosomal RNA, 422 nt
Filed under: Verrucomicrobiota bacterium
Lineage: Bacteria; Pseudomonadati; Verrucomicrobiota
Description: Verrucomicrobia bacterium partial 16S ribosomal RNA
Rfam family: Bacterial small subunit ribosomal RNA
Source: RNAcentral
UGGGGAAUUUUGCACAAUGGGCGCAAGCCUGAUGCAGCGACGCCGCGUGAGGGAUGAAGGCCUUCGGGUUGUAAACCUUUUUCGCUCAUGGUCAAGCCGCAGCUUUGGGUUGUGGUGAGGGUAGUGGGCAAAGAAGCGCCGGCUAACUACGUGCCAGCAGCCGCGGUAAUACGUAGGGCGCGAGCGUUGUCCGGAAUUAUUGGGCGUAAAGGGCUUGUAGGCGGUUGGCCGCGUCUGCCGUGAAAUCCUCUGGCUUAACUGGGGGCGUGCGGUGGGUACGGGUUGACUUGAGUGCGGUAGGGGAGACUGGAAUUCCUGGUGUAGCGGUGGAAUGCGCAGAUAUCAGGAGGAACACCGGUGGCGAAGGCGGGUCUCUGGGCCGUUACUGACGCUGAGGAGCGAAAGCGUGGGGAGCGAACAGG